Molecule: ribosomal RNA, 301 nt
Filed under: uncultured bacterium
Lineage: Bacteria
Description: partial 16S ribosomal RNA
Rfam family: Bacterial small subunit ribosomal RNA
Source: RNAcentral
CAGCAGCCACGGGAACACGAAGGGUGCAAGCGAUACUCGGAAUUACUGGGCGUAAAGCGUGCGUAGGUGGUGGUUUAAGUCCGUUGUGAAAGCCCUGGGCUCAACCUGGGAAUUGCAGUGGAUACUGGGUCACUAGAGUGUGGUAGAGGAUAGUGGAAUUUCCGGUGUAGCAGUGAAAUGCGUAGAGAUCGGAAGGAACAUCUGUGGCGAAGGCGACUAUCUGGGCCAACACUGACACUGAGGCACGAAAGCGUGGGGAGCAAACAGGAUUAGAUACCCCUGUAGUCCCUGUCUCUUAUAC